RNAcentral lists this long non-coding RNA (259 nucleotides) under Mytilus galloprovincialis (Mediterranean mussel). The record is from RNAcentral. Lineage: Eukaryota; Metazoa; Mollusca; Bivalvia; Mytilida; Mytilidae.
AAUUUACAAUUGUGCAGUGAACGGAGGCACUUAUACAUAACCUUAUAUCGAGUACUAUUAAUUCAUUUUAGACGCUGUAUUUCUAAAGAAAAAUGUACUCUAUAGCUGACAAAGAAGUGUGAACAUUUUGCAUUUAUACUUCCACGGCCCACCGUGCUUGUGUAAAUGAAACAACUAAUUAAAUAGGAACCAAAUUUUGAUAGAAUCUUGAUCGUUUCCAGUGAGUUCUUGAAAAUGUUUGGUCGCCACGCUGAAAUAA